RNAcentral lists this transfer RNA (73 nucleotides) under Cyrtodactylus louisiadensis. Its description in RNAcentral is "tRNA-Phe". The record is from RNAcentral. Lineage: Eukaryota; Metazoa; Chordata; Lepidosauria; Squamata; Gekkonidae.
GUUGCCGUAGCUUAAUAACACACAAAGCCCGGCCCUGAAGUUGCCGUGAUGGGAUGCCCUAUUCCCGGGAACA